This 550-nucleotide long non-coding RNA is filed under the name Homo sapiens (human). RNAcentral describes it as "HSALNT0073698". Lineage: Eukaryota; Metazoa; Chordata; Mammalia; Primates; Hominidae. The record is from RNAcentral.
CACUCUGUCAUCCAGGCUGGAGUGCAGUGGCAUGAUCUCAGCUCACUGCAACCUCCACCUCCUGGCUUCAAGCAAUUCUCCUGCUUCAGCCUCCCAAGUAGCUGAGAUAACAGGUGUCUGCCACCACGCCCAGCUAAUUUUUAUAUUUUUAGUAGAGACAGGGUUGCACCAUGUUAGCUAGGCUGGUCUUGGACUCUUGCCCUCAAGCGAUUCGCUCGCCUUGGCCUCCAAGAGUGCAGGGAUUACAGGUGUGAGCCACUGUGCCCAGCCUGCUAAUUUUUUAAUUUUUUUGUAGAGACUGGGGUCUAGCUAUGUCGCCCAGCCUGGUCUCAAAUUCCUGGCCUCAAGGAUCCUCCCGCCUCAGCCUCCCAAAGCCCCAGGAUUACAGGAUUAUAGAGAGCUGCCAGGGAAGCAUGGGUUAUGUUCCACGUAACUGCUCUCUUUGAUGUUGCUUCGAAGCCAACAGUUCCCAGACCUAUGAGCCAUGUGCGAAUUGCUAGAAAAGUUUCCACAGACAUACUUUCAAUCUUUGUUUAAACUUUAAGUUUCC